ACCGAAGCUGCGGCAGCGACACUGUGUGUUGUUGGGUAGGGGAGCGUUCUGUAAGCCUGCGAAGGUGUCCCGUGAGGGAUGCUGGAGGUAUCAGAAGUGCGAAUGCUGACAUAAGUAACGAUAAAGCGGGUGAAAAGCCCGCUCGCCGGAAGACCAAGGGUUCCUGUCCAACGUUAAUCGGGGCAGGGUGAGUCGACCCCUAAGGCGAGGCCGAAAGGCGUAGUCGAUGGGAAACAGGUUAAUAUUCCCGUACUUG
Molecule: ribosomal RNA, 256 nt
Filed under: Salmonella enterica
Lineage: Bacteria; Pseudomonadati; Pseudomonadota; Gammaproteobacteria; Enterobacterales; Enterobacteriaceae
Description: partial 23S ribosomal RNA
Rfam family: Bacterial large subunit ribosomal RNA
Source: RNAcentral